Molecule: ribosomal RNA, 250 nt
Filed under: uncultured bacterium
Lineage: Bacteria
Description: partial 16S ribosomal RNA
Rfam family: Bacterial small subunit ribosomal RNA
Source: RNAcentral
GACGAAGGAUCCAAGCGUUAUCCGGAUUCAUUGGGUUUAAAGGGUGCGUAGGCGGACUUAUAAGUCAGUGGUGAAAGCCGAUAGCUUAACUAUCGAACUGCCAUUGAUACUGUAGGUCUAGAGUAUAGAUGAUGUUGGCGGAAUAUGACAUGUAGCGGUGAAAUGCAUAGAUAUGUCAUAGAACACCGAUUGCGAAGGCAGCUGACAAAACUAUAACUGACGCUGAUGCACGAAAGUGCGGGGAUCAAAC